This 1374-nucleotide long non-coding RNA is filed under the name Nicotiana benthamiana. RNAcentral's name for it is "long non-coding RNA (NBEN_LNC042654)". Lineage: Eukaryota; Viridiplantae; Streptophyta; Magnoliopsida; Solanales; Solanaceae. The record is from RNAcentral.
AUUUCUCCAACUAAUACUUAGACAUUAUUAUUUAAUCUGUAGGACUCAAAAAUUCCAUUAGAAUACGUAUGAUUUGCCAAUGUUACUUCUAAUCUUUAAUAUAUAUUUUUCAUAAAACUUUUUCCACCUACCCAUCAAACACCAGAAAAUAACAAGGGUAAUUAACCGAAAUGGACAAAUAUACAUCUACGAUUUCAAAUUUCUCCCUCUACAAAGUGGACAAACGUCAACGUUGGCGUAAAUGGAAUAUUACAUAUUUGUAAAAGAAGAGUAGAAGACAGUUUGUGCACCUAUCAUAUCACGCGCUCUAUCUUUUCGCAGAAAAGGUUGUUCCUUUAAACAUCUUAUUUCGUAUAUUUUUAAUAAGCAAAGAUACCUUUUAAUUUUAAGCAUUGAAACUGCAAAUUAUUCUCCGGCUGCUGCCAGUUAUUCCACCUAACUCUAAGCGUAUCUACUGAUCUUAUUCCUAUCCUAACAACCUCGCCGUUUUCUGGUCUAGGGGGUAUUCAACCAAACUAGUUAAUCUCCAUAGAAAAUGCAGAUACAAAACAGAGGUGAUCAUGUCACCCAUGUCAUGUUUAGCUAAAAAGCUGAGUACCUAAAACAAAGACUGAAAAAAAAAGGCCCGACUUCGUGAUCCCAACAGAACAUAGCUGUAGAAGUGCGAGAAUGGGAAUCAAACAAGUUGUCGCCUUCAUGUUUAGCUAGAAAAUGAGAACAGAGAAAAUGGGAGGAAGUGUUCAUCCUUUUUCUCCUUCUACCUUAUUUUGCAGAUUCGUUUGCUUCCGUAGUUGUACUUUUACUUUCUAUCGGGCACUGGGAUACAUAAGGUUUCAGCUGAAAAAGAAAUUCAUCAAUUGCAAAGUGUUACAAACUUCACACAAAAUGAGCAAACACAAAGGUCACAAGUUUCAUAAACAUUUUCUACGAUCUAGAAAGAGAGACUAGUUUCUUUUACCUAGACUAUAGACUAUGUACAUAAUGCAGUUAUGUAAAUUCAUUAAUAAUUUCAAGAGAAGCUGAGACGGGGGAUCACUACCUUUGAAGAGGAUAGGAAAGCAGCGGCAACACAGAAUACAAGAAAGUAAAAUCUGAUUAAUGAAAAUUAAGCUCAUUUUCGGUCAUGUUUGAAAAGUCCAUGCCCUAAUCCAUGAGCUAGGAAAGUGUUAGGUCUAACCUACCUCAAGCACUACCUGUUUCAAGAUAUUAAAAGGCCUUGAAAAGAUUAAUAUAAUGGAAUAAUCCAAAGAAUGUUUUCAUUUUAGAUAACUUUUUGUAUCAAAAGCAAGUGGUGAUCUAAGCAAGUGCUGGGCCCAAACAGAAAGCAUAAGCAACAACGUGUUUCCUAGAAAGGGACUGAAAGUUAAAUAGCAC